Molecule: long non-coding RNA, 605 nt
Organism: Brienomyrus brachyistius
Lineage: Eukaryota; Metazoa; Chordata; Actinopteri; Osteoglossiformes; Mormyridae
Exons: 3
Source: RefSeq, a predicted model, not a curated record
CCUAAUGCGGAGUCCAUUUUAGGUAAAGUUAUACUUGUCAACCCUGUUUGAUGGUGGAGGGCUGUCCGCUACUGUGGCAACACCACCAACUUAUACAAAUACACGAGAAACCACGAGAAAGGGAACUCCCGAGCUGUAAAAGAAAGGAAGAGAGGAGGGAAACCCCUCAGACUGACCCAGAACCCCGGCACAUAGACAGAGGUCUCUGGCAGAGUCCUUUCGGAGACGCGAAGAAUAUCCAGGGUUACAGAGAGGAGGCCUGAAGCCUGUUCCAGACAAGCCAGGGCAGGCGGCAGGGGAAGACUCUGUAUGGCAUGGAAGUUCACCAGAGGACACACACAUGUUACAAGGAACACAAGUGAAAGAACUCCACUGCGGGGUCUCAGAGUUCCCACAUCCAUGAUCUCAAAGGACUGGCCGGGGAGCAGGUGGAAAUGAAAUCUCUGCACCAGUUUGGCCAGCACAACCUUUGCCUCCAUCUGCACAGAAGGAACAUGGGUAAUAAAUCAGUACGGGGCUCCAGGGCGUGUAGUGGUUAAGGCAUUAUAGUAAAAUCAUUAAAAGCAAAGUGAAUAAAAAUAAUAACAAUAGUAAUAAUAAACUCA